GGCCAUUUCACCAAAUACAUUGUCCAAGUUAAAUGCCCAAAUUCCUCAAAAAAAUACCCUUUUCUAGAAGUUUCUCAAAAAGCCACAAAUUUUGAUAAUUUUGCAAUAUACUCGUGGUUCCUCACCUCCACCUUGUCCCCUUCAUACUACUGCUAACACCUGAAACAAAAUAUUUUCUUAACAGCUAAAUCGUAGAUCUGAAUAUCAACGACUGGGAUUAUCGAAGUACUCAAGAAAAUCAGUAGUUUACCACUCAGCCUCUCCCCAUUCCCUGUUAUCCUUGCUAUUUAGGCAAUUUAUGCGUUGUUGUUGAUGUUAGAUUAUGAAAAUUGUCUAUAGCCAAAGCUACUUAAUCUCCUAUUUCCUACUUUGUACGUAUAGUCUCAAUGAUUUAAGCCAGAAUUAUGCAACUUAUUCUAUUAGGGCACAAUCAGUAAAAGCCAUCCAAUCAUGCCAUGCCUGCCUGGUCGUCUUGUUCGAUUUCUAACAAAUCAGAUUCCAGAUUUGAAAGGAAAUUCCUAAAGCAUUUACAGAUGUGAAAUAAUUACUUGCAAUUCAAUAAUUCAAGUUCAAUCUCAUCAUAGAAUUCCUAAUGCUUAACCCAACUGAGAUUCCCUUAAGCUCAGGCGCACGAAGAAACGUAAGACACUAAGAGAAGAUGACUCUUAUUUCUAUAAUACCACUUAGUGCUAGAGACAGGAAGAGAAGGGGUAUGAUGACAAGACUACAGCAGCAAUUCUGCAGUACUGAGGAAGCAUUAUCACUCCUAAAAUGAACGAAACCAAAAGUUAAAUAUGGGGAGCAUACUACUGCUUAAAGCAUCAUUCAAGGACGCCUCAUUACUCAUCAAGAUAUUGAGUUUCUUCUAUACAUGUGCAUUUGCAUAGCACAACCAGUAAAACAAUGUAAUUGUAGAAGCAGUUAGAGCAAUUACAUUGACUAAACUAUGAUAUCUUAGCUUCAAACAAGCUAGAAAUUUUCCAUAAUUCAUUUUGUUAGACAGUGAAAAAUUAUGGAUUGAAACCAGAAAUCAAAAAAUGAAUACAUGG
This 1049-nucleotide long non-coding RNA is filed under the name Olea europaea subsp. europaea. The record is from RNAcentral. Lineage: Eukaryota; Viridiplantae; Streptophyta; Magnoliopsida; Lamiales; Oleaceae.